This 427-nucleotide small RNA is filed under the name Pan troglodytes (chimpanzee). RNAcentral describes it as "retained intron". Lineage: Eukaryota; Metazoa; Chordata; Mammalia; Primates; Hominidae. The record is from RNAcentral.
GAGGCCAGAAAAUUGAUGCUGUGGCAUGGAACACAACCCCCUACCAACUAGCCCGGCAGAUCAGUUCAACACUGGCAGAUACUGCAGUGGCUGCUCAAGUGAAUGGAGAACCUUAUGAUCUGGAGCGGCCCUUGGAGACAGAUUCUGACCUCAGAUUUCUGACAUUCGAUUCCCCAGAGGGGAAAGCAGACAAUCCGGGGCUCAGAGCUGCCUGUUUUGGAGCGGAUUUGCCAGGAACUUACAGCUGCUGCUCGACCCUUCCGGAGGCUAGAGGCUUCACGGGAUCAGCUUCGCCAGUUGUUCAAGGAUAACCCCUUUAAGCUUCACUUGAUUGAGGAGAAAGUGACAGGUCCAACAGCAACAGUAUAUGGGUAAGAGUUGUCAAGAGUAAGGCAAACAGAGAGGUGGGGAAGCAUUGAAGAAGGCC